AUACGUAGGUGGCAAACGUUGUCCGGAAUUACUGGGCGUAAAGGGCCCGUAGGUGGUCUGCUAAGUCGUUUGUGAAAUCUCCCGGCUCAACCGGGAGAGGUCGAACGAUACUGACAAACUUGAGGGUAUCAGAGGAAGACGGAAUUCCCGGUGUAGUGGUGAAAUGCGUAGAUAUCGGGAGGAACACCAGUGGCGAAAGCGGUCUUCUGGGAUACAUCUGACACUGAGGGGCGAAAGCGUGGGGAGCAAACCGGAUUAGAAACCCCGGUAGUCC
RNAcentral lists this ribosomal RNA (274 nucleotides) under uncultured bacterium. RNAcentral's name for it is "partial 16S ribosomal RNA". It matches the Rfam family "Bacterial small subunit ribosomal RNA", at positions 523 to 796 of the family's 1533-position model. The record is from RNAcentral.